Molecule: non-coding RNA, 3116 nt
Organism: Phascolarctos cinereus (koala)
Lineage: Eukaryota; Metazoa; Chordata; Mammalia; Diprotodontia; Phascolarctidae
Source: RefSeq, a predicted model, not a curated record
GACAAUGUUUAUGGACAUCAAAUCCUGCAUGAAGGAGAGGACAUUUUUAAUUCUCUAAGGAGUGUGACCCCAGAAUCUAACCAUGUCAGAGAAGAAGGAUAUCCUAGGCAACACCUCACAGUUAACCCGGAAUUCUUAAGUGUAUAAGUUCCCAAGUUUGAGACCCUGAGAUUCUGACCUACUAAAGAUAGAAGGGCAUUUCCUGAUCCAGAAAGCUCAUUGGAGAAAGAUGAAGAUGGUCUGCAUAAAUAGUUACUGUGCAGUGUCCUAUAUGGAGAGAAAAUAUACCUCUUACCCUUUAGGUAGAUCAACUGGCUCCACCUGGCUACUUCUCAUCUAUAUACAAGUAGGUCCCAUGGCCCAAUCCCACAGCUCCCAGAGCAGGACCUGCCUCUUCAAUCUCACCAAGCCUCAUAACAUCAACAAGUCUAUUUGGUCUGCAGCAGAAGAAUCACAGCUCUAGCGACUUCCUUACCUGUGUUGGGCUUCCUUCCCCAGUGCCCAGUCCCCAGUCCCUUGGGGAAGAUGAUUUCUGAGGCUCCUGGCACUUCAGCAUUCAAUGCAGACAAUCUCCCUCAGAUGACCUGAGUGUGACCGUCUCUAAGCCUAACUCUAAAUGCUUCCCACCCAAUUCUCAGAGUAGGAUGGCAUCCCCAUGGGCUUCCUCCAAACCAUAGUGUAUUAGAGAUCUCCAUAGCUAUUUCUUUUGAGAAGAAAGGAAAACCUGAGGCUCAAAAUCACUGAGUCAUGGACCACCUAGUUCAAACAGGGUUAAAACACCAUCUAGUCUGAGCCCCUCAUUUUAAUUUUGUUUAAGCAAUGCAUGUUUUUUUUAAAACCACCACCAUUAUAUCCCCUGAAAGAGACAUAGAUAAGCAAAACUGACAUUGAGAAUAACCAUAUCUGACAGGAUAGGCAACAUUCUGCACUCCUAGUCAUUUACACACAUACCCAUAUGCCCACACAUAUGUGCACACACAUGCACAUGUUUGCACACAUACAUACACAUGUACUCACAUGCACACACACACCCCUCUACCAAGAGGAGGGAUAUGUUUAUUACCCUCUCUUCUUUAGGCCAAGGAUCUGGCAUUGACAUUCGUUGAGUUUCCAUGGUCUUUGAGGGCUGACAUUCGUGGAGCCCUAACCCUAACCUUAACCCUAACCCUCCCAAGGCUUCCAGCCAUAUCAAUAGGAUCUAUACACAAUAAAAGUCAGUCCUUCCUCUAGAGGGGCCAGGGGAAGGCUCAGGGAUUGGAUCAUGUGGAUGAGAGGAAAGAUGUGGAAGAGCAGUCAAGGGAGUCGGCAGCCCCAGCAGCGUGGUGACCUUGGGUAGGUACUUCUUCUUAGAGCUCCUAGGAGAGUGUGUGGCUGCAGAGGGUGGAUAUUCACUUGAGCAUCGGGAGUAUCUGGGUCCUGCUUGGUGAUAGCUUGGUCCUGGAUCUGCCUGAUGUAUAUCAGGAAGGGAGCUGACAGAAAAUGUCAAGAUGGCCUGAAGCAAACCUGAAUAAACCAGUCUUACCAGCAGAUGGGCAUCCAGCCAUGGGUGGGACAAAGAAGCAGCAUUCCUUGGUAACUUCCGGCUGGGAGCAGCUGGGUCCUCAGGCCCAAGAUGCUUUCCACACGUGGCCUAUCCUCUGCUGUUCACUCCUCCUCUGCUCUGCAGAAAGCCUCUGUUGGUUGCACUUCUUCCUUUUCAUUUAGGCACCAAUAUGGAGGCUGGUCAAAGCACGAGUCCCUGGUCAUAGCCCCAUGGGGGCCUGGAGCAAUGGAGGAACCAGGAGGACCCAGUGCUCACCACAGCCUCAGACUUCCUUUAUGAAUGCAGUCCAAGAGAAAGCUGGGAACUUGGUCACCUGGGUCCUGAGGAGUCCUUCCUUUCCCAAGAAACCUUCCCAGAAGCUGUCAGCCAGAGCAACUUCUGGAUAAAGAAAGGAUGUCUCACACUGGAAGUUCUGUGAGCAGGCCAAGGGAACAGGCAUCUCAGGGGCCAAACCUGGAGAAUACCUUUCCCCACCCGCCACUGCCAGUGCCCUAACCCUCAUCCAUCACUGUCUGCAAGGGGUUUCUUUAGUGUGGGAAAUGACUUCUUGCCAUUUAUUGAAUAAUUUAUUAAUUCUUAUAGAGGGAAACCGAAUUGUGAGGUGUGGCAAUGUGACAAUUUGUGGGGGAGGGAGUUGGGGGCUCCCCAUUAUCUCUUUACUUUGCCCUUGACAAUUUGGGGGUGGGGCUAAGAGUGUGCAGUACCUGUGUAGCUAAGGCUGAAGGUGAUCAAGGCUGCUAUCUCUGUGAGUCGAGCAGUCAAAAUUGGCUAAGACUGGCUUUGAGGAAGCAAUCCAGACCAACCUGAAUUCAUCCAUUCAGGAGUUCGAGGAGCCCCGGGGCCACUGAGAAUCUGAUGCUGCAAGGGGUCCCCAAGCCCAGCCCCCUCCCAGCACCUUCCAAGAGGGCCAAGAAGGAAAACUCCAGCUCUGGUGUCAGGCCAGGCCAACGAUUUCCUUUCUCUUCCUUUGUUUCCCUUUUGGGGAAUGUUUCAUCUCAAUCCUUCUGAAUUAAGUUCAGACCUCUGUUAGCAGGAGUGUUGAACUUGCUUAGAAAUGCAUCUUGUGAAGAUGCAUGUCAUCUCUCAGACAUUCCUGUCACAGAUACCCUGGAGAGGGUGACGAUCUGGCUGGUAGAUGUCUUUGGUGAUAUCAGGGAGAUCACUCCAAUCUCAGCACCUGCUCUCUUUCCACAGCUCCUCUCUGUGGGCUCAAAGACUGCAGGACUGAGCCCACAUAGGGACCAACUCAGGUCCACAAACAUUUAUUAUAUUAAGCAUUUACUAUGUAUGAAUGUAGAUUUUCUUAUGCUCAAUAAUGUCCCAUUGUAAUCACAUCCCAAAGUGUGUACAGCCAUUCCCCAGGAGCUAGUCAAUGCUGUAGUUUACAUUUUUGGGUUCCUAUAACAAGACCUGCUAUAAAUACUUUGGUACAGACAUUCCUUUUCCUCUUCCCUUGAUCUCUGUGGAGAGAUCUCUUUGGAGCCUUAGCAGUGGUAUAGCUGGGCCAAAGUGGUAUAGCCACUUUGGGGCCUCCAACAUUUCAUAGCUCCACUCACAGUGUACAAAGUACCUC